UCAACUCCCUUCUUCUCCCUUAACUUUCCCUGCGUCGUCCCCUCAUAAAAAAAAACCUUUCCCUUCAUCGUCAAUCUAGCUUCUUCGUCGGUGGUUCUGGCCUCCUCGCCAGAGGCCACCUAUUAGCUUGCUCGGCCGUUGGUUCCAAGGAAACACUUAGCUUGCUCGCGCCGGUGGUUUCAAGAAAGAAAGUUGCUCGCGUCCUAUUUUCCGUCAACCUCUUCGUCGCGGCUAGUAAUCUUCCCUGUCCCCUCAGAUAGGAUUCAACGGUGGUGUUCCAAUAGAUGAGGAAUUAUUUAUCCAGAACAUAGCUGGCAAGCAUAAUGAUGACAUUUACCAGGGCUCUCUUCCCUGAUGACUUCGAGCAGGCUUGAAAUUCACAGAUCAGAAGGUAGCUUAUUUCAGGAGGAACACCCUAUGUACGAUGAUUAAUUACCAAAUUGUUGUUGGGCAUGAAUCAGAAGGUGGCAUUACUCCCACAACGGGUGACGAAUCACAAGGUUUAUACUCCGAGGACUGCGCCUUAUGCUAGUGAGGAAAUUGACGUGGUUCGUGAGCAAUGGGCGAAGUUUUUUACCAGCAAGUAUUUAUUAUUGACCUGAGCGCGCUUGAUCGAGUUGGUUUAGAUGUUAUAGAACA
Molecule: long non-coding RNA, 639 nt
Organism: Spinacia oleracea (spinach)
Lineage: Eukaryota; Viridiplantae; Streptophyta; Magnoliopsida; Caryophyllales; Amaranthaceae
Exons: 4
Source: RefSeq, a predicted model, not a curated record